This 2508-nucleotide long non-coding RNA is filed under the name Arabidopsis thaliana (thale cress). Its description in RNAcentral is "potential natural antisense gene, locus overlaps with AT1G60540 (AT1G60545)". Lineage: Eukaryota; Viridiplantae; Streptophyta; Magnoliopsida; Brassicales; Brassicaceae. The record is from RNAcentral.
ACGGUAAAGACGACAUAACGAUUAGCUUAGUUUGUUACAACAAAGAGAUUAAAAACAUAAAAUAGGCCGGAAAAUUCAAAAGUUCAAAAACUACACAAGGCCCAAGCCCAACUUCAACAACAGAGAAAGAAACAUACCCGACCUGACUUCACCAAAAAACUCGACGAAUGAAGCAAUCGCUUAACGAUCAGCGUAUACAGAGUUCUGAUCAACAAUGGCCGCCACAACGUCCUUGGAUUCCUUCAGAAGCUUGAGACUAUUCUUCAGCUUCUCCCUCUUGCUCGCCACCGACGGUGAUUCCUCCAGCAUCCUAUCUAUUCCUCCGCCAGCUCUUGGAUCCACCAUCUCCGCCACAAUCUCCUUCUGAAACUGACUGUUGACCAGAUUCUUCACAGAGAAUUGAAGGUAGAGAGCAAGGUUAUCGACAACCCUUCGCAAUACGAUCGUCCAGUAAGAUGUGAUCCUCAUCUUCAUAUCAAACGCUUGUUGCAGCAAAUGAGCGUGAUACUUUCGCAGAUGCGAGAUCUUCACAUCCCCGAAUCCAGGUAAAGCAAAAUUCUCAGGUUUAUUCUCAUCGUGCAACACAGAAUUGAUGAAGUUUUGCUGUGAGGUUGUCUUCUGAGUCCAAGAAGUCAUGUAAUCUGGGUUACAUGUGUAAUCGGUAAGCUUCUCCAUCUCAACGAUCUCAAUUACUCAGUUCACGGAACGUUCCUUAGUCCUGCUCAUUAGAUUACGACCAGCCCUUUUGAUGGAGGAUUGAAUCUGGGGAAAGUUGUCAGAAUAUGUCGUAAUGACUGAUGACAGAACGACUUCAAUGUAGUCCCAUAUCUCCUUGAUGAACUCAACUGGCUUGUCUUGUAUCCCAUCCACAUGUUGUGAAAGGAUUGCUAAGAAAGAAGAUCUUGGUAUAAAAUUAGGCAAUCCGAUACAUUUGCGCUCUUCUAAGACUUUGAUUUCAUCCAUCAAGAACUCUUCUGUCACGGCUUGAGGCUGUGCCUGCAGAUUGUCUGAGAAUCGGUUUAACAUUUCAGCCAAGCGAGCUGUGCAAUGCAUCUUUUGAUCGUUAGGGUAUUCAGAGAAAUCUCCAUGGACAAGGAUUCUUAGUAGAGACUCCUUGGCAGAACCAAUGAUAUCCAUUAGAGACAUUAAUGCUUCCCCAGUAGAAGCCAUGACUAUUGGGAGCUUGUUAAACUCCAGGACACUGAUUUCCAUCUUCACAUUUAUCUUCCUUUCGAUUUCCGGCAAACACCUAGAUAUCAUCAUUCCCUGGAUCUGCGUCAGCUUCUGAGCUAAGACGGGGAUACCCACAAUCUCAUCAUUGAUCAUUGAAAGCAUCGGGUGGGUCCUGAAAAGUAACUCUUCUUGCAUUCGAGCUUCUUCAUAGGUUUCCUCCCCUAUCCGGUUUCUAACACAGACAUAACCAAGUCCGAUACUCACAUCAUCUGCAGUUACUUUCUGGAGAAGCCCUUCAGGAGCCAUGUCAGCCUUUGUGACUACAGCCAGAGUCCGCUCACCGGUUUUGUCCACCUGUUUAGACAUUCUGAUGGAUUCACAAGUAGUGAAAUCAACUGUCGCUGACAGAACAUUGAGCUGUCCGUUCACAGGAACACGGGUUAUUCCAGGGAGAUCAACCAUAGUAAUAUCUGGAACACCAGCCUUCUUCACAUGGAGCGUAAGGGGUGUGUCUGAAACCCCUUUGCCAGAUCCUGCAACACAGUAUUCACAAGUACUAAUCAAAAUCAAGACUUCAACUGAGGCUUGGAAGCUUAAACCAAACAUAUUUAACAGUAUGGAAGGAAUAGAGGCAAAACAUACCAGCUAUCACGUCUGUAGCUGCACAAAUAGUUUGAGCAAUGUGUUCCUCAUCUGUAGGAACAAUUUUGUCACCGUACUCCAGCCAGAUCUCAGGUUCAGGGCUUCGACUUCUCUGGAGCCUCAUGACAAGAGGAACUCUAGUGCAGAUUCCUUGCCCACGUGGCAAACUGAUUCCUGCCAACGACUCGAGGACACUCGACUUCCCCGAGGACUGGUCUCCAACCACAACAAUGGUAGGAAGCUGAAUCCCUUCUUGCAUCACAUUCAAGUUCCUGAGCUUGUCCACAGUGUCAAGCAACGGCCUGAUGUGGUCAUUGUAAGAUGAUACAAUUGGUGCUUCUGUGGGAACAACAUCUUUGUGGGGGUGAGGAUUCGCCUGGACAAUUGCCAGAGAAGGAGUGGUACUAGUGACAUCAUGCUUGUUACUACGUCCCAUUUUGUUGCUUGAGGAGACAAUACAAGAGUAGAAUAGAAUGAGAUAGAGAAUAGAAGUAAGUGAGAUAAGCGUAGUUGAGAUUUAUCAAAGAGAUAUGCAAAUAUAUAUACUGAGAUAUUUGAAGGGCUUUGUGUUUAUGAGCACUAUACUACAGAAGCAGACGUUUGACAUGAAAUGACGUAAGUAAAAAGCAUAUUGGAACUGAACAAAGCUAAUUAAUUAAGUUCAUGAUUACACCUAUUACCUAUAGAUAUUAG